UGUGAAAAAUGUAACUGCGUUCCUUCUGGGACUUAUGGCAACAAGGAUGAGUGUCCUUGCUACAGAGACUUGAACAACUCCAAGGGCAAACCCAAGUGCCCUUAGGCCUUAACUUUCCAUUUAUUCUUUCUUAAUCACUUAGCUUGCCUGCUGUGUUACGAUAUCAUUAACUGGCCCUGCAUGCGCGCGCGCUUACUAUAUAAAAUAAUGUUUAUCGUCAUUUGCCAUCAAAUAUAUAAUUAAUUUGUGUUGCUUCGGGGAAUGGCUAGCUAGUUGUACAAAUGAUCAUGUGAGAUGUGCAGGUGGGGCGUACGAUGUUUACUUACUAACUAGACGGCAAAUUCUAUUUUUGCCUUUGUGGAACUGGAAAAUGUGGUCUCUAUGCACGUUUCUG
This 394-nucleotide long non-coding RNA is filed under the name Linum usitatissimum (flax). Its description in RNAcentral is "long non-coding RNA (LUSI_LNC006373)". Lineage: Eukaryota; Viridiplantae; Streptophyta; Magnoliopsida; Malpighiales; Linaceae. The record is from RNAcentral.